UGGGUGUCAGGGAGAGAGUCUCCCAUCAGUC
Molecule: non-coding RNA, 31 nt
Filed under: Mus musculus (house mouse)
Lineage: Eukaryota; Metazoa; Chordata; Mammalia; Rodentia; Muridae
Source: RNAcentral